AAAAAGGAGAACAACCGGAGUGGAGAAGAAACGGAAAACAGAGGGAGUGGAUAAAAAAGCUGUUCUGGGAGGAGCAAAAAAACAGAAAAAGAGAAAGGAACGGGAAAGGCGAAGAAAAGAAAAACUUUCAACAAAGCUUGAACCAACAUCAUCUCCUUCAUUUCCCUUCCGUCAUUGAACACAAAAAAUACAGCCACUAUUACUCCAUUUUCUUCCACCCAAAGACCACCAUAGAUCACCAUUUUCCUCCGCCUAAAAUCACUAUUUUCUUUCCUCCAUUUUCAGCUAUGUAAGGCCACCUUUAACCACUGAAAACCAGCACAACUAACCCCCAAAAUCAGCACCUAAAAUACACCCUUUAACACCCAAAACACAGCAGUAAAGCAGUAAGUCCUCAUCAAAACCUCAUCUUCUUCACGUCGUUUUCAUCACGAAAACAUCCCUUUAAUCCAGCCAAAACACCAGCUGAAACACCCAUCAAAACUACCAAAACCCAGCUGCCUUCUUCUACCCAAAACGACCCCAAAAUCCCAGUCAAAGACCAGCUCUGAAACACCCCAAGCAGCCCCCAAAAAAUGCGGCAAAACGAGAUGAGUUCGAGCUCUAAAGUUGAGUCGUCGAGGUCGAGUUCAAGCUCCCUCCGUUGAUUUUGGUCGAGUGUCGUUCCCUAUUAAAUGUCCAAAUUUAGUCCAGCUUUGUUGUUUGAAGCAAUUUAAUAUGAAGAUUCGAGCUAGGUGGAGGUGAUUGCUAUAGGAAAGGAGAUUUUGGAGGGUUGAUUAGGCUCACUAAGAUCCAGGUGUUUCCUGACAUGGUGGUUGCGGAUUCUCAGAAUUUACAGUCACUCGGAGAUUUUUCGAGGUAGCUGCCCUGGCGUACGCAGACCUUCACUCUCCUCCCCUAUCCCUCAGUUUUACUUAUUCAGUUUCUUGUAUCUUAGAAUGUGUAUCAGACUUUGUUUUCGUAUAGAUGCUCAUGUACUCAGUGACACACUGGUUUUGGAAAACUUCUGUAUCAAGUCGUGACAGUUUUAUCCAGUUUUAUGAGAUUUUUACUUA
This is a long non-coding RNA of Nicotiana tabacum (common tobacco), 1055 nucleotides long. RefSeq lists it as uncharacterized. The record is from RefSeq and is a predicted model, not a curated record. Lineage: Eukaryota; Viridiplantae; Streptophyta; Magnoliopsida; Solanales; Solanaceae.